This 72-nucleotide transfer RNA is filed under the name Aedes aegypti (yellow fever mosquito). It matches the Rfam family "tRNA". From Rfam's summary of the family: Transfer RNA (tRNA) molecules are approximately 80 nucleotides in length. Lineage: Eukaryota; Metazoa; Arthropoda; Insecta; Diptera; Culicidae. The record is from Rfam by way of RNAcentral.
AGCUCGGUAGCUUAGAUGAUAAAGCACUCGUCUUGUAUACAAUAGUCAUGGGUACGAAUCUCAGCUGAGCAC